UGCGUCGGGAUGACUCAGCGGUUUCUUGUCAGUGUCACGUUUACGAUAGAAUUUUAACCCAAACUUUCUGCUUCUAAAGCUUCGUUUAUCUUUUUUUAAAAUGAAAUUAAGGGAGUUUUGCUGUUCAAUAAGAAAUUCUGUAGGUACAAAAAAAGUAAUAAAGAAACGGAACGGCAAAUGACACCAAACCAUGACGGAGCAUUUUUAUUAUGACAGGAGACCAACAACCUCAUGAAGUCAAACAGCAGCUUGGCCAGCAUGGCGACAACGGUGAGGAUGAGGAGGCCGGCCAGGGCGUAGAUGCUCCACACUGCAAAAAGACAAAGCAAAGAAGGCGGGGGUGACACGGUACCAUGGCGUCAAUGGUGUUGCUUGGCCAAGAAAACAAAGUGCAGCAGACCGAAAGGACAAGCAUGUCCAGCCCACUGACCUGGCAUUCUGUGCUCCGGUUUGCCGGGGCUGGACGUGAUCACGUAGAGGAUCUGUGAGGACGAGGAUGAGCGUCCUUUGGCUGUUACAUUGGCACCGUCGGUGACGCCGGGGGCUGGCUGAGGUUCCACCGUGCUGGAGAAGCCUUCAUUCUCAUCCUCCGCG
Phycodurus eques (leafy seadragon) is the source of this 594-nucleotide long non-coding RNA. RefSeq lists it as uncharacterized. Lineage: Eukaryota; Metazoa; Chordata; Actinopteri; Syngnathiformes; Syngnathidae. The record is from RefSeq and is a predicted model, not a curated record. The transcript is spliced from 3 exons.